AGCAGUCGCCACGGUAAUACGUAGGUGGCAAGCGUUGUCCGGAAUUAUUGGGCGUAAAGGGCUCGCAGGCGGUUUCUUAAGUCUGAUGUGAAAGCCCCCGGCUCAACCGGGGAGGGUCAUUGGAAACUGGGAAACUUGAGUGCAGAAGAGGAGAGUGGAAUUCCACGUGUAGCGGUGAAAUGCGUAGAAAUGUGGAGGAACACCAGUGGCGAAGGCGACUCUCUGGUCUGUAACUGACGCUGAGGAGCGGAAGCGUGGGGAGCGAACAGGAUUAGAGACCCCCGUAGUCCCUGUCUCUUAUAC
RNAcentral lists this ribosomal RNA (303 nucleotides) under uncultured bacterium. RNAcentral's name for it is "partial 16S ribosomal RNA". It matches the Rfam family "Bacterial small subunit ribosomal RNA", at positions 507 to 807 of the family's 1533-position model. The record is from RNAcentral.